RNAcentral lists this transfer RNA (93 nucleotides) under Povalibacter uvarum. RNAcentral describes it as "tRNA-Ser". It matches the Rfam family "tRNA". From Rfam's summary of the family: Transfer RNA (tRNA) molecules are approximately 80 nucleotides in length. Their secondary structure includes four short double-helical elements and three loops (D, anti-codon, and T loops). Further hydrogen bonds mediate the characteristic L-shaped molecular structure. tRNAs have two regions of fundamental functional importance: the anti-codon, which is responsible for specific mRNA codon recognition, and the 3' end, to which the tRNAs corresponding amino acid is attached (by aminoacyl-tRNA synthetases). tRNAs cope with the degeneracy of the genetic code in two manners: having more than one tRNA (with a specific anti-codon) for a particular amino acid; and 'wobble' base-pairing, i.e. permitting non-standard base-pairing at the 3rd anti-codon position. RNAcentral also lists the same sequence under 1 other name. The record is from RNAcentral. Lineage: Bacteria; Pseudomonadati; Pseudomonadota; Gammaproteobacteria; Steroidobacterales; Steroidobacteraceae.
GGAAGGGUACCGAAGCGGUCACAACGGCACCGAUUCGAAAUCGGUUGAGGGCAUAACCGCCCUACGAGGGUUCGAAUCCCUCCCCUUCCGCCA